UCGCCUGUUUAUCAAAAACAUGGUCUUUUGUUUAUAUAAAAGAUUUGACCUGCCCAGUGAUAUAAUAAAUGGCUGCAGUAUAUUGACUGUACAAAGGUAGCAUAAUAAUUUGUCUCUUAAUUGGAGUCUGGAAUGAAAGGUUGGAUGAAAAAUUUACUUUCUUUAUUUUAUAUAUAAAAUUUAACUUUUAAAUCAAAAGGUUUAAAUAAUAAUAAAAGACGAGAAGACCCUAUAGAACUUUAUUUUUUAAUAUUAAUUGAUUGAUUGUGAAUGACUAUUUAUUAAUUGAUAAAAAUUUUGUUGGGGUGACAGAAAAAAUUUUAUAACUUUUUUUAUUUUUUUCAUUUAUAUAUGAAUUGUUGAUCCUUUAUUAGGGAAAAAAGAUUAAGUUACCUUAGGGAUAACAGCGUUAUUAUUUCAGAGAGUUCAUAUUGAUGAAAUAGUUUGCGACCUCGAUGUUGGAUUAAAAUUAGUUUCAGGGGCACAAGAUUGAAUACUAGGUCUGUUCGACCUUUAAAUUUUUACAUGAUCUGAGUUCAAACCGGAGA
Molecule: ribosomal RNA, 548 nt
Filed under: Ausejanus minutus
Lineage: Eukaryota; Metazoa; Arthropoda; Insecta; Hemiptera; Miridae
Description: partial 16S ribosomal RNA
Rfam family: Bacterial large subunit ribosomal RNA
Source: RNAcentral